This 476-nucleotide ribosomal RNA is filed under the name uncultured bacterium. RNAcentral describes it as "partial 16S ribosomal RNA". It matches the Rfam family "Bacterial small subunit ribosomal RNA", at positions 30 to 507 of the family's 1533-position model. The record is from RNAcentral.
UUGAACGCUGGCGGCAUGCCUUACCCAUGCAAGUCGAACGGUAACAGGUUAAGCUGACGAGUGGCGAACGGGUGAGUAAUACAUCGGAACGUGCCCAGUAGUGGGGGAUAGCCCGGCGAAAGCCGGAUUAAUACCGCAUACGACCUAAGGGUGAAAGGGGGGGAUCGCAAGACCUCUCGCUAUUGGAGCGGCCGAUGUCAGAUUAGCUAGUUGGUGGGGUAAAAGCUCACCAAGGCGACGAUCUGUAGCUGGUCUGAGAGGACGACCAGCCACACUGGGACUGAGACACGGCCCAGACUCCUACGGGAGGCAGCAGUGGGGAAUUUUGGACAAUGGGCGCAAGCCUGAUCCAGCCAUGCCGCGUGCGGGAAGAAGGCCUUCGGGUUGUAAACCGCUUUUGUCAGGGAAGAAAUCCUUUGGGUUAAUACCUCGGGGGGAUGACGGUACCUGAAGAAUAAGCACCGGCUAACUACGUG